Molecule: ribosomal RNA, 794 nt
Filed under: uncultured bacterium
Lineage: Bacteria
Description: bacterial SSU rRNA
Rfam family: Bacterial small subunit ribosomal RNA
Source: RNAcentral
AGAGUUUGAUCCUGGCUCAGGAUGAACGCUAGCGGCAGGCUUAAUACAUGCAAGUCGAACGGGAUUCGAGGUAGCAAUACUUUGAUGAGAGUGGCGCACGGGUGCGUAACGCGUAUGCAACCUACCUUUAACAGGUGAAUAGCCCCGAGAAAUCGAGAUUAAUACACCGUAACAUUGCGAAGUGGCAUCACUAUGCAAUUAAAGAUUUAUCGGUUAAAGAUGGGCAUGCGUGACAUUAGCUAGUUGGUGAGGUAACGGCUCACCAAGGCAACGAUGUCUAGGGGUCCUGAGAGGGUUAUCCCCCACACUGGUACUGAGACACGGACCAGACUCCUACGGGAGGCAGCAGUAAGGAAUAUUGGUCAAUGGGCGCAAGCCUGAACCAGCCAUGCCGCGUGCAGGAAGACGGCCCUAUGGGUUGUAAACUGCUUUUGUCAGGGAAUAAACCUUUGUACGUGAUACAGAGCUGAAGGUACCUGAAGAAUAAGCAUCGGCUAACUCCGUGCCAGCAGCCGCGGUAAUACGGAGGAUGCAAGCGUUAUCCGGAUUCAUUGGGUUUAAAGGGUGCGCAGGCGGAUUGCUAAGUCAGGGGUGAAAUCCCACAGCUCAACUGUGGAACUGCCCUUGAUACUGUCAGUCUAGAGUAUAGUUGAAGUUGGCGGAAUGUGUCAUGUAGCGGUGAAAUGCUUAGAUAUGACACAGAACACCGAUCGCGAAGGCAGCUAGCUAAGCUAUAACUGACGCUCAUGCACGAAAGCGUGGGGAUCAAACAGGAUUAGAUACCCUGGUAGUCC